Cyprinus carpio (common carp) is the source of this 2512-nucleotide long non-coding RNA. The record is from Ensembl. NCBI's taxonomy places the organism in Eukaryota, Metazoa, Chordata, Actinopteri, Cypriniformes, Cyprinidae.
GGAAAUUGUGGCGGAGUGACUGUGAUGGGGCGGAACCAAAAAUGAGGAAGAUUAGUUCCGCCCGGACCAUAUAUCGCAAACACCGCCACUUCCGGGAAAGCCGGCGAACACAAAUCGGCGUGCUAUUGGGAACGGGUGUCUUGUUGAGCGUGGCGAUCACUGAUUGGGCAAUUUGGUGAAGAGGAGACACAUAAAUAGGGCACACAGGAAGGGCCUGGUGAUUCCCAGUAGUUACUGUGGGCGCAACGGAGCGGAGGAGAGAGUUGGAGAGAGAGUGUAUGGUGUACUGCGGAGCUUGGGCAAAGAGAGAUACACAUACAGGGCUGAGUAUACGAAUAUCUUUAUUGGAGCAUUGUGUUCAGAUGCAUUGUGUGAUGUGAAGUUAACACACAUUGAAGAUCUGCUAGGAUUGCAGGAAGGAGAUCGUGCUGCCAGUUGUGUCGGAUGUCGGUUAUCUGGAAGAGAAGUGGAGAGAUCCAGUGUUAAUGAAAGUGUGAGUACACUGAAAUAUUCAUCGAGUCAACAGUUAUUUUGCAAGUGUGGAAUAUCCCUUGUGAGUUGUGACCAGUGUGAGCGGCCCCACCGUAAUAGGAUUGGUGGGUGAGCCGGAACCAGCGAAAAAGGAGUCUGGUGCCUUGUCGUGGCUGUGACGUUCCCUCUGGCCGUCUGCUGCAUCGGUGCCCCCAACGUCCAGGAACUAAUCCCCGGUCCUAUGUGGUUUUGACCCUAAUUCACUGUGAGUGUGUGGAGUGUAGUGGGCGAGUCCUUUUCUUUGCUGUGUGUAUACUUGAAGUCUGCAGUGUCGUGCUGUGUCAUGUUGUCAGUCAUCACCCUCUAGGCUGGGAGAGAAAACCCUGUGGAGAAGAACGUGCACCGGUGUUGUGAGACGACCGUCUUUUAUAUACAUGCCCGCUCGCGGCUUUGGACCCCUACUCCGCCGAGUGGCGACGUGCCAACAAUAGCAAGUAAGGAACAGUGUGCAUAUUGUGGGGGACGACGACUGAGAGAAGUGUGGGCUGCUAUAUGAACAUCCAGCUGUGUAGCCCUUGUGUAUGAAUACCUGUUUGGGGAGUACUUUCAGAGGUUCGCCCCUGUCUAGAUCUCUGGUCCGUUGUUUGGAAGAGAGGAGAGGGAAGCGUUCGAGUCAUUCCUGAGGUACAUACCCGGUGGCACAAACCUACCUGAAGUCACUCAGCGUGGUGGCACCAGCUGAGGCCGUGGAAGGCCCAACGUGCAGCGACUUCAAUCUGUACUUCUAUCCACUCUUGGUCAAAUUCGAGAGGUGGUGUGUCUUUCUCCAUAUAUUCACUGAAGCUAAGUAAAUUUGUGAAGGAACUCUGUCUGUCUGUUACUAGUCCUACAGGUCUGAGCUUGAGGCUCUGAGUCGUCGUGGGAGUGUUUCCACGGUUGGAGGUGACCGUGUUGAGUGUUGGUCUGGGAAGUCUGCCCUGGUGAAGAAGACCACAGUUGUCGUGACAUAUACAUCUUCUCUAGACUCCCGAGCUGAAAAGGGCUAAAGCCUGACGUCCACCUCUUCGAGGGUCUGUGAGUUGUAUCCAUUCAGUAUUGUCAUUGUAUAUCCACCUGCAUGCCCAGAGCAAAGCUCCAGUUGCCCCUGUAUGCCCAUCUGUACGCCUCAAGCUAAGAGCCAGCGUAUUGCCCUUGUAUACUUACCUGUAUGCCUAAAGUCAAGCUCCAGUUGCCCCUGUAUACCCAUCUGUACGCCUCAAGCUAAGAGCCAGCGUAUUGCCCUUGUAUACUUACCUGUAUGCCUAAAGUCAAGCUCCAGUUGUCCCUGAAUACCCCUCUGUACGCCUAAAGCUAAGAGCUAGCGUAUUGCCCUUGUAUGCUUACCUGUAUACCCCUCUGUACGCCUCAAGCUAAGAGCCAGUGUAUUGCCCUUGUAUACUUACCUGUAUGCCCAAAGUCAAGCUCCAGUUGCCCCUGUAUAUCCCUCUGUACGCCUCAAGCUAAGAGCUAGCGUAUUGUCCUUGUAUACUUACUUGUAUGCUCAGAGUCAAGCUCUAGUUGCCCUUGUAUACUCACCUGUACGUCCAAAGUAAAGACCCAGUUGUCCUUCUGCAUACUUACCUGUACGCCCCGAGUGAAAUACCAGUGCAUCGCCCUUGCAUAUAUUCACCUGCAUACUUACCUGUGGACCUUUUAGGUGUUUCCAACCGUGGACCCAGAAUCUCGUGGCGAACGGCGUCAGGUACGCACCUCACCCAAUUCAUCAGAAUUACUUACCUUCUUUACUCUGCGUGCAGGGACUGGAAGGGCCCCACUGACGGUUCUCCUGCAGGAGAAACACAAAGGCACUACUGAGAAAAACCCUGUUGAGUCACGUGAAGGAAAGGACACAAAUUACCUACAGGUUUACCUGAGAGUCCCCGUGACAGAGUCAGAAGCGACUCGGACCUAUACUCUCUGGCCCCAAGAGUGGAUUUUAGAUUCCCUUCUCCCUUCCCUGCACACCUUUUAAAUAAUUUAAAUAAAGUCUGUUUUAAUUACA